Molecule: long non-coding RNA, 910 nt
Filed under: Triticum aestivum (bread wheat)
Lineage: Eukaryota; Viridiplantae; Streptophyta; Magnoliopsida; Poales; Poaceae
Description: long non-coding RNA (TAES_LNC019450)
Rfam family: MIR1120/MIR1122 microRNA precursor family (bases 214-328)
Source: RNAcentral
AGUUCGUAAUUAAACUCAGAUAAUCUGGAAAAAAAGGUACGCAUAUUAUGCAAAUAUCAGGAUAGAAGAGGCGCGCGAAUACAAAAACGGGCGCAACAACUAGUGGUAUGUUAUAUCCCAUUGUCAUCGUUGAAGUUAUGAUGGAAUCAAUAUACCAGGUUGGAGUCAACAACCACCAUGGCUAGUACUGGCAGUUCAAGACUAGUAUCAAAACAUGUACUCCCUCCGUUCCGAAUUAGUUGUCGCAGGUAUGGAUGUAUCUAGAUGUAUUUUAGUUCUAGAUACAUCCAUUUCUUCGACGAGUAAUUUUGAACGGAGGGAGUAGUAUUAAGAUAUGUUCCGCGGCAGUGAAGGGGUGCUAAUCAUAAAACACGGGCAAAACAACCAUGCCAUUGUUAAAAUUUAGAUUGUAUACUUGAGUCAUGGACCAUCGAACAAAAACAGGCAACAGAUUCAGACUUCUCUGUAUCCGUGGGUGCAGCAGGCCAUGCAAUAGAUUCCAAACAGGAGAAUCAAGCAAGAGGAUAAAAUGUGGCUCCCGGAAACCACAAAUUUCUCUAUAAUAAAGUUGAUAAGCUCUCCUGGAAAGAAAUGUACCUAUGUUGUUUCUCCCUGAUACUUGACUCGUCAAGCAAGUGGUCGAAAUCAGCAAAAGAGCCAUCAAGCACACAAACCUUAAGUUGAUUAGAGCCAUAACGAAGUUUUUUACUAUUUCCUUGAUUCCUUCUACUAUUGUAUAUUUGGUCGUGCUUGUGGUGUUUAGUUGGAUCCUUCCGCUGCUGUUUAUAUAGAUAUAGAGGCGCCUUGGAGUACCAUAUUUUGCCGUUUUAUUAUUAUUAUUAUUAUUAUUAUUAUUAUUAUUAUUAUUAUUACUUCCUGCAUUAGUGUUUCCUUUGUAUGGUUCGCGGUA